RNAcentral lists this non-coding RNA (30 nucleotides) under Mus musculus (house mouse). Lineage: Eukaryota; Metazoa; Chordata; Mammalia; Rodentia; Muridae. The record is from RNAcentral.
UAUUCCACAAAAUAGAAACAGAAGGUACUC